GAUGAAGAACGUAGCGAAAUGCGAAACUUGGUGUGAAUUGCAGAAUCCCGUGAACCAUCGAGUCUUUGAACGCAAGUUGCGCCCGAAGCCUCGGCUGCCUGGGCGUCACGCAUCGCGUCUCCACCAAUCCGCCUAGUUGGAGGGAAGGAAGAUGGCUUCCCGUGCCUCACCCGGUGCGGUUGGCCUAAAUUUGGAGCCCGCGGCGCUUAGCUCUCGCGGCGAUAGGUGGUGAACAAGGCCUUGGCCGUGCAAACAACCCGCUGCGAAGCUCUAUGUCACGUGCGCUCGUCGGACCCUUUGAAGUUGCCUUUGGUGACUUAAAACCUUUGCGACCCCAGGUAAGGCGGGGCUACCCGCUGAAUUUAAGCAUAUCAAUAAGCGGAGGA
Molecule: unclassified non-coding RNA, 386 nt
Filed under: soil metagenome
Description: partial contains internal transcribed spacer 2 and large subunit ribosomal RNA
Rfam family: 5.8S ribosomal RNA (bases 1-108)
Source: RNAcentral